GGGGGUAUAGCUCAGUGGUAGAGCUUCCGACUGCAGAUCGGAGGGUCUCCAGUUCAAACCUGGAUGCCCCCU
RNAcentral lists this transfer RNA (72 nucleotides) under Daphnia pulex (common water flea). It matches the Rfam family "tRNA". Rfam says of the family: Transfer RNA (tRNA) molecules are approximately 80 nucleotides in length. Their secondary structure includes four short double-helical elements and three loops (D, anti-codon, and T loops). The record is from Rfam by way of RNAcentral. Lineage: Eukaryota; Metazoa; Arthropoda; Branchiopoda; Diplostraca; Daphniidae.